AUUUAUUUAUAUAUUUAUUUUUAUCCUGACUUUAUAAAGAUACCAGUAUCAAAACCAGUUACAAUAAUACAAAGUUACAGAAGUUACAAAUGAUAAAAGAUGAAGAUUAAAGAAACCUCAACCCAACACCACAGAUAAUUGAUUUAUUAUGUAAGAGUAGCAGCAGUACAAUCCAGUGAGAGACAGAUCAGCUCAACUCUGCCUUCCUUUUCUAUUCUGUACUGGAGAGAUGUGCUGCUGCUACUUGCUUGCAUUCACCAGCCAGUUCUUCAUACUGUAACUGCUAAUAUAAAAUGUCGUGCGUUCAUGUUUUCAGUGUGUAUGUCAUGUGUUCCUGCUUUUUAGGAGGAUUCAAUGUAUGAGUAAUAGAGUACAAUUUAAAAAAGUUUAAAGAAUAUUUGACAUAUAUUCAGUUAUGUAUUUUCAUUACAAAAAAUAUGUGAGGCCAGGUGUGGUUUCCUGUAACACAAGAAACUAAUGGUGAGAGGAAGCCUGCUCUUCUAUGUGUGCAUUGGAAUUUGAGACUUCCUUUAGACUUUUGUUUGGGUGUGGCUCAUGCGUCUCACCCAGGUGGGUGUUGUUCUGCAAAAGUUCCAUCAGUAUCACAUUUUAUUUAAUCUGUCCAAAGCUAGCUAACUUUGUGAAAUUAGGGACCUAUUUUCUUCAAAUUCUGUCACAGCUGUAUUCUUGGUAUUCUUGGUCAAAUUUGGUUGUCCUCUGAAAAAUAAAUGUUAACUAAAACCAUUUCAGACACACAUAAUUGUUGUUGUUGUUGUUGUAAAAACUUCUGUGGUUUGCAGAGCCAAACAAUGUUGUUUUCAUUCCUUUUUUUUUUGACAGGAAUGUUUAAUGUGACUCCUCAGAAACUGGAAAAGAGAAAUGCUCCUGCCCAUUUACAGUAAUGUAAACAAUGUGACGCAGGUUGUGGAGUCUGCCAUGUUCCUUAAAGAGCUCUCCUGGAGUUUUCUGGUGCACACUGGGUUUUGGAGGAAGGAGCUGUGCCUGGUGCAGCACCAGCUGCUAUGUGCCUUCUCGCUUAGCCUGAGGAUCACAGGGGAGUGCUCUGCUUUGAUUGAACUCAUUGAAUGAAAUAGAGACGCCCCUUCAGAGCUCGAAAACAAUAAAGUACCAGGCUUUCCCAUCUGGAAGUUGAUCUGAAGAGUUAAAACUAUUUAUUAGAUGAUUUUGUAUACAACCACUAAUUUUCAAGACCUCCAUAAUAUCUUAUUUAGGUCUAAGUGAUGGAAAAAAAACAACAACAACAACAACAACAACAACAACAACAACAAAAAAAAACCCAGAUGUUCUUGUUUUUAUUUGUAUAUACAUCUGGAGGCCUGAGUUUGAAUCUUAAUCCCUUAGAGCCAAGCAUGUGAGGCUGGGUGGGAAAACAUCACAUUUACCAUUGCUUGUGCAAAGACUGCUCUGUGAAAUAAAAUAUAAGACUUCAAUCUCCAGUGCUGCCAAUCCAGCACGUUCCAUGAGCACAAAUUAAGCAUGAAAGUACUUUCACUGAUGAUAGAUUGGGAGCUGCACGCCAACAUGUUACUUUCUGUAAUCUCUGCAAACCUCCCUACUCAACUCUUUCAGGUAAAUUUGCAUCCCUACUAACAGUCAUACAGAAUCUAUUUAUUUAUUUAUUUAUUUGUCAUGAGUUUGAACUCCCAGCACUUGUGGAGAUUAGGAACCAGAAAGUAGCAACAGCAUCCCAUACAUAUCGGUCAUAUCGGUCCACUUUUAAGAAUCAACCGCUUAUGAAUCAAAUAAUUUGGGAUGGAUGUGAUUCUUAUAAACUGAGUACACUGUACCAAAUCCUGUGUGUUGUGAAAAUAUAAGUAUUAUAAAAAAUACAGUAUUUUGGUAUUGCAUUGUAACUGAUACAUUUUUUAAUUGUCACAAGGAAAACAUGCGUGUAUAUAUAGUAGCAACAGUACAAGCUUUCCUACCAAUAAAAAGGCCAUAAACAAGGUUUCCGAAAUGAACCCAUAUUGACAAUGAAAGUAAAGAUCCGGCAGGUAAAAUAAUACCUGAAUUAAUUAAUUUAUAUACAAAAAGGUACACAUUUUAUUUCUAUCUAUUAAAAAAAAAAAAAGUACAAUAUGGUAUAAUCAGAAUACUGAAUGGCCAUUCAUGGUAUACUUGCUCCUCUCGGGUCUUGUGAUUUACUGUGAGUCCCUUCUGCAGCAAAUAAAACCAGGAUACCAGGAAUGAUCAUUCAGGAUAUUAAUAUAUAUUUUUAAAUUACGUAUAUAAUUUUAUAUAUGAAGUUCACAAAGACGAGA
Molecule: long non-coding RNA, 2282 nt
Organism: Polyodon spathula (Mississippi paddlefish)
Lineage: Eukaryota; Metazoa; Chordata; Actinopteri; Acipenseriformes; Polyodontidae
Exons: 3
Source: RefSeq, a predicted model, not a curated record